Molecule: long non-coding RNA, 164 nt
Organism: Bufo bufo (common toad)
Lineage: Eukaryota; Metazoa; Chordata; Amphibia; Anura; Bufonidae
Exons: 3
Source: RefSeq, a predicted model, not a curated record
GGUGAGGAACCCGUCUAGGGACGUCAGGGCAGCCAGGUGCCAGCCGCAAGGUGAGUCAAGGGUUACCACCUUCCCUCUCACUUGGGCAGGGCCUUCCUCGUUCCCUCCCUCUGUGUCACGUAUGUCAUAGUCACGCCGAUCGUGAUAACAUAAAACGAUAUUAC